RNAcentral lists this ribosomal RNA (760 nucleotides) under uncultured bacterium. RNAcentral's name for it is "bacterial SSU rRNA". It matches the Rfam family "Bacterial small subunit ribosomal RNA", at positions 1 to 752 of the family's 1533-position model. The record is from RNAcentral.
UAGAGUUUGAUCCUGGCUCAGGAUGAACGCUGGCGGCGUGCCUAAUACAUGCAAGUAGAACGCUGAAGGAGGAGCUUGCUCUUCUGGAUGAGUUGCGAACGGGUGAGUAACGCGUAGGUAACCUGCCUGGUAGCGGGGGAUAACUAUUGGAAACGAUAGCUAAUACCGCAUAACAGUAGAUGUUGCAUGACAUCUACUUGAAAGGUGCAAUUGCAUCACUACCAGAUGGACCUGCGUUGUAUUAGCUAGUUGGUGAGGUAACGGCUCACCAAGGCGACGAUACAUAGCCGACCUGAGAGGGUGAUCGGCCACACUGGGACUGAGACACGGCCCAGACUCCUACGGGAGGCAGCAGUAGGGAAUCUUCGGCAAUGGACGGAAGUCUGACCGAGCAACGCCGCGUGAGUGAAGAAGGUUUUCGGAUCGUAAAGCUCUGUUGUAAGAGAAGAACGAGUGUGAGAGUGGAAAGUUCACACUGUGACGGUAUCUUACCAGAAAGGGACGGCUAACUACGUGCCAGCAGCCGCGGUAAUACGUAGGUCCCGAGCGUUAUCCGGAUUUAUUGGGCGUAAAGCGAGCGCAGGCGGUUAGAUAAGUCUGAAGUUAAAGGCUGUGGCUUAACCAUAGUACGCUUUGGAAACUGUUUAACUUGAGUGCAAGAGGGGAGAGUGGAAUUCCAUGUGUAGCGGUGAAAUGCGUAGAUAUACGGAGGAACACCGGUGGCGAAAGCGGCUCUCUGGCUUGUGACUGACGCUGAGGC